Long non-coding RNA from Alosa sapidissima (American shad), 133 nucleotides. RefSeq lists it as uncharacterized. The record is from RefSeq and is a predicted model, not a curated record. NCBI's taxonomy places the organism in Eukaryota, Metazoa, Chordata, Actinopteri, Clupeiformes, Clupeidae. The transcript is spliced from 2 exons.
UUAGCUGAAACCACGGAAGAAGAGGAUGUCAGGAUCCUGCAGACAGAUGAGGAGAGAGAAGAGCAGAUCACCUGGGCCUUGUGGCCUGGAGGAACCAAUGAGGAAUGCUAAAUGCAAAAGCAUGGAGAGAAAA